Molecule: small nuclear RNA, 23 nt
Filed under: Arabidopsis thaliana (thale cress)
Lineage: Eukaryota; Viridiplantae; Streptophyta; Magnoliopsida; Brassicales; Brassicaceae
Description: snRNA_10488
Source: RNAcentral
UGUUUCUUUUUCUUUUUCUGAUC